UUCACGCCCUAUUUCGGUACUUGUUUUCAGCUGAUCGCGGGGCAGUAACGUCGAACACCCGGCUCCCCUCACCCCUUCAAAAAUUUAAAAAAACAAAAAAAAAAUGUCCACAUCUGCCAUGAAAUGGUAUCAGGCUCCACUGGAAAGGUUCAUGGACAAAGUGGCCAUUAUCAGUGUGUCGACCUACAGGGAUCGCUACCUGGAGGAGCUGGAGAGAAAUACAUGCUUGAUGGGGAGAAGGACUGAGCAGGAUGAACAGAGCAAGGGUGUGCCUCAAAAAUCAAACAAAAAAAGAAGUCAACACUGAAAUCCAAUCCAUCCGACCAUGUUGUGUAACGAUGAAAGCAAAUCAACAAAAUGAUUAAGCAAUCUGUUUCUUCUUCAUGUGCCUUGUGUGUCCCA
Molecule: long non-coding RNA, 402 nt
Organism: Mobula hypostoma (lesser devil ray)
Lineage: Eukaryota; Metazoa; Chordata; Chondrichthyes; Myliobatiformes; Myliobatidae
Exons: 3
Source: RefSeq, a predicted model, not a curated record